UUCCAUGUGGGAUACCACGCAGGCAAUCUACGUGCCAAUUGAUCCAAUGGCCCGAAUCCACUCCCGUGUGUAUGAAUGACCCAUAUUCAUUUUUCCAUCAACCGAGAUCGAACAGUCUACGUGCCUUCAAUUGGACGGCCUUGAUUUGCUUUCCAAAUAAGCUAGAUCCGACGGUGGAGAUCGGCCCAUGCGGACCCAAACAGAUAGCCGAGAUUGAGAGAAGAUGAGUGUUUAAACU
Molecule: long non-coding RNA, 238 nt
Filed under: Carica papaya (papaya)
Lineage: Eukaryota; Viridiplantae; Streptophyta; Magnoliopsida; Brassicales; Caricaceae
Description: long non-coding RNA (CPAP_LNC011291)
Source: RNAcentral